This 1385-nucleotide long non-coding RNA is filed under the name Mus pahari (shrew mouse). RNAcentral describes it as "lncRNA (MGP_PahariEiJ_G0006420.1)". The record is from RNAcentral. Lineage: Eukaryota; Metazoa; Chordata; Mammalia; Rodentia; Muridae.
UGGACCCUCGCCUGGCCUCUGGACAGCAAGCCAGCAUGACUUGGUGGCCAUGAACUGUAGCAGCCCGUGGUCUGCCCUUGGCUGCAGAGAUUGGUCCAGAGCAUCAUUGCCCCAAGGAUGAGCGUCCUCUGUAACUGGACAAGAGCAAAAUAACAGCACAGACUAGAAAGGGAUAUGCUUCUUCCAUACAAGGUUCAGAAGAAGUGGCUAAGUAUCAAAGGACAUAGUUUUGGUAGGUCUCCACUUCGAUAAGUGAGGUAUGUUAAUUUUUCUUAUAGCACAUAUCUUUUCUCAUAGCGCAUCUGAUUUCAGUCCUGUGAGUGCCCAAUUAUUCGUAGGCAUAAGGUGGUAGAUAGGAGAUUCACCCUAAACAUUUCCUAAAGGACACAGUGUGGAUCCCAAAGCAGUUCAGUUGGGCCGGAGGAGUCAUCCUUGCUCUCAUAGUGUAAGCCAGUUCUAUGCAGGCUGUUGUACGGUGAAAGUAUCAAUCGUCUAAACGAGAUGUGCACUCUACAAACUGACUCUAGAAAGGUGUACCCAUCUGUGAGGUGGUGUGGCAUUACUUUUAUGGGGAUAACCAACUGCUCCCAGGUUGGACUGAAGGUUUGCUCUGUACAAUUGGUCCACAACUGAUAUCUGAAGAAGUCUCAGGCCCUGGGAGCUAGGGAUGGGUAUGUGGGGGGAGGGGGGGAACCUAAGAUGGGUCCUUAGUAGAAUCAAGAUAGCAUUAAACCACCCCUAGACUACCUGUGUAUGCCCAUAGACAAAGGUUUCUCUCAUUCUUCCACAGAGAUAUUCCUUCUGGCAAUGAAGAGAUAAAUCCAAAGCUCCAUUAUGGGACAAGAUGCCAGAAGUAAAGGACAAUUGAGCCUAGACAAGGCUUAGCCUUAGACAAAAUAUUUAUACAUCGUGUUAAGGCUCAAGAAACAUUGAGGAAGAAGUUAUGGAAAGAAUGUAAGAGCCGCAGAGAAGGGAGGUUGUAAAAUACCGUCUUCUGAGCAAGACGAGGCCGUGCCAACUACAAAUUUACAGCAGUCGUGAACCCUAGAACUGGGUUCAUAGAAGUUGGGACCUCUUAACAGUAACUAUUAGAGAGGUGGGACCUGUAGGGCCUGCCAUUAGCUUCUGAGCUAUUGGCAACAGCAGAUUCUGGGAGUGGCGAGGCAUAGUAUUCUAUUACAUACCCACAGGUGGGUGAGCCACCAGGCUGUCAUGGUUCCAAACUCUCAGGCUCAAACAGGCAGCCCUGGUCAAAUAUUAUAGGAAAAAGAUUUGUAAAGACCAAGUUCUUGUCAUGGUGGGAGGAGCUAGGAGAAAACAAUUGUAAGAAAACAAACAGCUACAGUGUACUUACAUACAAUAAAUAAAUAAAUAAAUAAAUAAAU